UACGAAGGGUGCAAGCGUUACUCGGAAUUACUGGGCGUAAAGCGUGCGUAGGCGGUUGGUUAAGUCUGAUGUGAAAUCCCCGGGCUCAACCUGGGAAUGGCAUUGGAAACUGGCCAGCUAGAGUACGGUAGAGGGUGGUGGAAUUCCCGGUGUAGCAGUGAAAUGCGUAGAGAUCGGGAGGAACAUCUGUGGCGAAGGCGGCCACCUGGACCAGUACUGACGCUGAUGCACGAAAGCUAGGGGAGCAAACAGG
RNAcentral lists this ribosomal RNA (253 nucleotides) under uncultured bacterium. RNAcentral describes it as "partial 16S ribosomal RNA". It matches the Rfam family "Bacterial small subunit ribosomal RNA", at positions 524 to 776 of the family's 1533-position model. The record is from RNAcentral.